Molecule: long non-coding RNA, 234 nt
Organism: Gopherus evgoodei (Goodes thornscrub tortoise)
Lineage: Eukaryota; Metazoa; Chordata; Testudines; Testudinidae
Exons: 2
Source: RefSeq, a predicted model, not a curated record
GGGGAAGUCGCAGCUGUCGAUCCCGCGCCGUGAGGACAGGAGGUUGAACCUUAGUGUGUGACCAAAAGUGAUGGAAUGUGUGUAAUCUCUUGCUAUGAUCCUGUCAACCCACAGAAAAAGUCAUCAGAUGUCUAGGAAACCAAGAAGAGAGACCACUUGUGACUGAUGAAAGAUAUUUGUUACUGCAGAUGUUUCUUGUGAUUGAUAAGAUAAUAAACUAUAGAGAUGUUUUUA